RNAcentral lists this ribosomal RNA (253 nucleotides) under uncultured bacterium. RNAcentral's name for it is "partial 16S ribosomal RNA". It matches the Rfam family "Bacterial small subunit ribosomal RNA", at positions 524 to 776 of the family's 1533-position model. The record is from RNAcentral.
GACAGAGGGGGCAAGCGUUGCUCGGAAUCACUGGGCGUAAAGGGCGCGUAGGCGGGAUGGCAAGUCAGUCGUGAAAUCUCUCGGCUCAACCGAGAAACGUCGGCUGAUACUGCCGUUCUUGAGGGAUGCAGAGGAGACUGGAAUUCCCGGUGUAGCGGUGAAAUGUGUAGAGAUCGGGAGGAACACCGGUGGCGAAGGCGGGUCUCUGGGCAUUUCCUGACGCUGAGGCGCGAAAGCGUGGGGAGCAAAUGGG